UACGGAGGGUGCAAGCGUUGCUCGGAAUUAUUGGGCGUAAAGGGUAGGUAGGUGGUCUCGUUUGUCUGGGGUGAAAGCCUUGAGCUUAACUCAAGAAGUGCCCUAGAAACGGCGAGACUAGAGUUCUGGAGAGGGUCGUGGAAUUCCCGGUGUAGCGGUGAAAUGCGUAGAGAUCGGGAGGAACACCAGAGGCGAAGGCGGCGACCUGGACAGAUACUGACACUCAACUACGAAAGCGUGGGGAGCAAACAGG
RNAcentral lists this ribosomal RNA (253 nucleotides) under uncultured bacterium. RNAcentral describes it as "partial 16S ribosomal RNA". It matches the Rfam family "Bacterial small subunit ribosomal RNA", at positions 524 to 776 of the family's 1533-position model. The record is from RNAcentral.